This 1479-nucleotide ribosomal RNA is filed under the name Triticum aestivum (bread wheat). RNAcentral's name for it is "partial small subunit ribosomal RNA". The record is from RNAcentral. Lineage: Eukaryota; Viridiplantae; Streptophyta; Magnoliopsida; Poales; Poaceae.
AUGGCGAGUUUUCAUGUCGCCGACGCGUCGGAGUACCUGGCCAUCACCGGCUGGGGCAUCGACGACGUCAAGCUCGCGAAGAAAGCGUGGGUGUUCGUCGGGCAGCAAUGCAAGAAGUUCUGCAUCUCGCCCGUCAACUACGAGUUCGAGGUACACGCCAUGAGCGCCGAGAAGCUGCCCUUCAUCCUCCCCGCCGUCUUCACCAUCGGCCCCAAGAUCAGCGCCAUCGGCGACGAGGCGGCGGACAAGGAGGAGCUCCAGGCGCAGCUCCUGCUCUACGCCAAGCUCAUCGCCCCGCUGCAUCACAACACCAGCCACGUCCAUGACCUCGUCAAGGGGGUCAUCGAGGGCGAGACCCGCGUGCUCGCCGCCGAGCUCACCAUGGAGGAGAUCUUCAAGGGGACCAAGACCUUCAAGGAGAAGGUGUUCGACAGGGUACAGCUGGAGCUCAAGCAGUUCGGGCUCUUCAUCUACAACGCCAACGUGAAGCAGCUGGUGGACGUGCCGGGGCACGAGUACUUCUCCUACCUCGGCCAGAAGACGCAGCAGGACGCCGCGAACCAGGCCAAGGUGGACGUGGCGGAGGCCCGUAUGAAGGGCGAGGUGGGCGCCAAGGAGAGGGAGGGGCUGACCCGGCAGAACGCCGCCAAGGUGGACGCCGAGACCAAGGUGCUGUCGGUGCGGCAGAUGGGACAGGGGCUCAAGGAGGAGGCCAAGGUGAAGGCCGAGGUGCAGGUGUUCGAGAACGCAAGGGAGGCGGACAUCGCCGCGGCCAAGGCCGAGCUGGCCAUGAAGAAGGCCGGGUGGGACAAGCAGGCCAAGGUGGCCGAGGUUGAGGCGGCCAAGGCCGUGGCCAUCCGCGAGGCCGAGCUCCAGAUGGAGGUCGAGAUUAAGAACGCCAUGCGCCAGACUGAGAAGCUCAAGGCCGAACAGCUCAGCAAGGCCACCGUGCAGUACGACACCCAGGUUCAAGACUCAAACGCGCUGUUGUACAGCAGGCAGAAGGCAGCUGAGGCGGCCCUGUUCGAGCAGAUGAGGACGGCGGAGGCGCGCAAGGCGCAGGCCGACGCCAAGUUCUUCGAGCAGAAGAUGGCCGAGGACGCCAAGCUCUACGCCAAGCAGAAGGAGGCGGAGUCGGUGGCUCUGGUGGGCAAGGCCAAGACAGAGUACGUGGCGUCCAUGCUCCAGGCGCUCGGCGGCAACUACCACGCUCUCAGAGACUACCUCAUGAUCGACUCCGGCAUGUACACGGAGAUGGCUCGCAUCAACGCCGGAGCAGUCAACGGCAUGCAGCCCAAGAUCAGCAUCUGGAGUAACGGUGGUGAAGCAGGCGGAGAGGCUGCUGCCGGCAGCGCGCUGCAGCAGGUGGCCGGGGUGUACAAGAUGCUCCCGCCGCUUGUGUCGACAGUGCACGAGCAGACAGGGAUGUUGCCGCCGGCGUGGAUGUGUACGCUGCCCAAGGACGGUGCUGCCAACUGA